GUUUCUUCAAACCCUAGAAUCCUUACUAAAACUCUCAAAUUGGAGGUGCAAAUCUGGUCCAAAACGAAAAUCGAGCAUAGAUUACUGAUCCCCAUUGCAAGGGGGUUGUAAGUUUGACUCUUGACAAGCUAGAUGGAGGCUUGGAAUGAAGCGGGUCAAACGGAGCAAGUACGAAAAGGAAAGCGUAAUUUGGAUGCGCGUCUUAGGUACUCAAGGAUUAUGGGUGACGAUCAAGCAACUUUUGAAGGACCGAACACAUACUCUUGAAGCUUCCGCAUAAAUCAACUCGAUUUAAACAAUGUUUAU
Molecule: long non-coding RNA, 306 nt
Organism: Helianthus annuus (common sunflower)
Lineage: Eukaryota; Viridiplantae; Streptophyta; Magnoliopsida; Asterales; Asteraceae
Exons: 3
Source: RefSeq, a predicted model, not a curated record